AAGGGAGCUUGCUCCCGGAUGUUAGCGGCGGACGGGUGAGUAACACGUGGGUAACCUGCCUGUAAGACUGGGAUAACUCCGGGAAACCGGAGCUAAUACCGGAUAGUUCCUUGAACCGCAUGGUUCAAGGAUGAAAGACGGUUUCGGCUGUCACUUACAGAUGGACCCGCGGCGCAUUAGCUAGUUGGUGGGGUAAUGGCUCACCAAGGCGACGAUGCGUACCCGACCUGAGAGGGUGAUCGGCCACACUGGGACUGAGACACGGCCCAGACUCCUACGGGAGGCAGCAGUAGGGAAUCUUCCGCAAUGGACGAAAGUCUGACGGAGCAACGCCGCGUGAGUGAUGAAGGUUUUCGGAUCGUAAAGCUCUGUUGUUAGGGAAAAACAAGUGCGAGAGUAACUGCUCGCACCUUGACGGUACCUAACCAGAAAGCCACGGCUAACUACGUGCCAGCAGCCGCGGUAAUACGUAGGUGGCAAGCGUUGUCCGGAAUUAUUGGGCGUAAAGGGCUCGCAGGCGGUUUCUUAAGUCUGAUGUGAAAGCCCCCGGCUCAACCGGGGAGGGUCAUUGGAAACUGGGAAACUUGAGUGCAGAAGAGGAGAGUGGAAUUCCACGUGUAGCGGUGAAAUGCGUAGAGAUGUGGAGGAACACCAGUGGCGAAGGCGACUCUCUGGUCUGUAACUGACGCUGAGGAGCGAAAGCGUGGGGAGCGAACAGGAUUAUAUACCCGUGGUAGUCCACGCCGUAAACGAUGAGUGCUAAGUGUUAGGGGGUUUCCGCCCCUUAGUG
Molecule: ribosomal RNA, 790 nt
Filed under: Bacillus zhangzhouensis
Lineage: Bacteria; Bacillati; Bacillota; Bacilli; Caryophanales; Bacillaceae
Description: bacterial SSU rRNA
Rfam family: Bacterial small subunit ribosomal RNA
Source: RNAcentral